AGAGUUUGAUCCUGGCUCAGAACGAACGCUGGCGGCAGGCUUAACACAUGCAAGUCGAGCGCGCCCUUCGGGGUGAGCGGCGGACGUGUGAGUAACGCGUGGGAACAUACCUUUCACUGCGGAAUAGCCUCUGGAAACGGAGAGUAAUACCGCAUACGCCCUUUGGGGGAAAGAUUUAUCGGUGAGAGAUUGGCCCGCGUUGGAUUAGGUAGUUGGUGGGGUAAUGGCCCACCAAGCCGACGAUCCAUAGCUGGUUUGAGAGGAUGAUCAGCCACACUGGGACUGAGACACGGCCCAGACUCCUACGGGAGGCAGCAAUGGGGAAUCUUAGACAAUGGGGGCAACCCUGAUCUAGCCAUGCCGCGUGUGUGAUGAAGGCCUUAGGGUCGUAAAGCACUUUCGCCUGUGAAGAUAAUGACGGUAGCAGGUAAAGAAACCC
RNAcentral lists this ribosomal RNA (439 nucleotides) under uncultured Alphaproteobacteria bacterium. RNAcentral's name for it is "bacterial SSU rRNA". It matches the Rfam family "Bacterial small subunit ribosomal RNA", at positions 8 to 493 of the family's 1533-position model. The record is from RNAcentral. Lineage: Bacteria; Pseudomonadati; Pseudomonadota; Alphaproteobacteria.